UUAAAACAAAGCUUUAGGACUAAACUGCGAGAACCAGAGACUUGUUUGUAACGAUUCUUUGGGAGGUGGAAGGGUAUAUCUGUGAGACAUCUUUGAGAGAGGUGGGAGGGUUAUUCCGCGAAUAAAAAGAAGUAGGGGGUUAGAUCAAAAUUGGGGGGAGGGUUUCUUCUUCUUCUUCCUUUGAACCGUGACUUAGAGAGGAGAGAGGAGGGGCAACCGGUGGCGGGCGGCCGGCCAUGGCUCGCCGACAGCGAGAUUGGGCGGCGGGGGAAGGUUGCCCCUUACCUUGGGCGGGUGGUGACGGGAUAGGGGCGCCGGCGACAGCUUGGCGAACUGGAGGCGGCGGUGGUGUUGGCAGCGCUUCUGGUAGCGGUGGAGAUGGCGUUUGGCGCGGGGAGCGGGUGAGCUUCGUGGUGGAGUUGAGGCUCAGGCACUGGCCCUUUUAUAGUGGCGAGGGGGAGGAAAUGAUGAACGACCA
RNAcentral lists this long non-coding RNA (478 nucleotides) under Setaria viridis. RNAcentral's name for it is "long non-coding RNA (SVIR_LNC006900)". The record is from RNAcentral. Lineage: Eukaryota; Viridiplantae; Streptophyta; Magnoliopsida; Poales; Poaceae.